CUACCUACAUUAUGAAAGAGACUUUCUUCUUAUAGCUUUCUUCUUCUAUAUAAGAAGAUGAAUACACGGCAAAAAAAAAAAAUGAAGAAGAGAAAUUGUAAUACCACAAUAUAUAUAAAAGAGAGUUUAUUAGUUGAAGGGAGGUGUUUAUUUUGUGGAGCUUUGAACUCAAUUCUUGUCCAGAGUAUUGAGUUAUAUUGAGAAGGCUGUUGUAUCCUGGAGGGGACAGGUCAAUGAGUAUUACUGCUGGACCAGUGAAACAAUUGCUGCAGUGGGCUUGAAUCUCGAGCGAGAUAUCCGCACCUUAGCCAUAAAAGAAGAAAUAUAUUUUUCUAUAUUCAUUUGUAAUUUUCAGUUGUAAUAUUAUUGCAAUUUUAUUGAGAUUUUCACCAACAUAUUAUAAGAAAAAAUAUCAAAUUUGUUGUCGUAGGAAGAGGUUAUAUGCGACUUUUCCCGUCUCUCAUUAAUUGCACCGCUUCAACUGGAGAAGCAGUAACUAAUGACAAAGUUUCACUCAGAGAGACUGGUGCAUUAAAUACCAUGAGGCAAGUUACAAUUGUUGGUACCUGAGUCAUCAUAUUGUUGUUUGUCUACAUGCUAGAAAUAACGGAUAGCCAAAGGCCCAAAAUUGACUGGCACCGUACGCAGACAUAGAAUAUGUGAUUACGCAUAUGUUGUCAACGACGAUAAAUCUGCACUCAAGGCUGAGUUCUAUCAAUACUCUACAAGUCUACAACCAACCAUUGGCCUCCAGAAUAUUGAAUUAGAUGGCAUCACCACCAGAGAUCUCUUUCAACUAGAAGAUUUGCACCAUGUAUUGUUCGAUUAAGUCUUUUUGCAGCUUACAAGAAGUAGUAGUGAAAAGAUUGUCAGCAGACCAAGGUGAUGUGGAAUAAAAAACGAGAUCUUCAUAAAGGCCUACGCUUAGAUUCUGCUCUAGAAUCAUAAGGUAUCAAAUUUUCUUUUCUAUUGGUUUGAUUGUAUUGAUCGUGAAUAACAAAACAUCUUUUUUAUUUUUGUAAGUAAUUUUCUUUAUUAAUUUUUUAAUAUAAGUUUGUGAUUUUUAGAAAAUAUAUAAUUCUCAUUGAUACAAUCAGUGGAAUGGUGUGAGUCUUUAUAUAAGGACACAUAAUUUGUAUUUGUUCUAUUUAAUGUGACACAAUAAUUAGUAGUACUUUUCUA
Capsicum annuum is the source of this 1182-nucleotide long non-coding RNA. RefSeq lists it as uncharacterized. Lineage: Eukaryota; Viridiplantae; Streptophyta; Magnoliopsida; Solanales; Solanaceae. The transcript has 3 exons. The record is from RefSeq and is a predicted model, not a curated record.